Molecule: ribosomal RNA, 468 nt
Filed under: uncultured bacterium
Lineage: Bacteria
Description: partial 16S ribosomal RNA
Rfam family: Bacterial small subunit ribosomal RNA
Source: RNAcentral
GACGAACGCUGGCGGCGUGCUUAACACAUGCAAGUCGAACGGAAAGGCUCCAGCUUGCUGGAGUACUCGAGUGGCGAACGGGUGAGUAACACGUGGGUGAUCUGCCCUGCACUUCGGGAUAAGCCUGGGAAACUGGGUCUAAUACCGGAUAGGACCGCACUUUGGUGUGUGUGGUGGAAAGGUUUUUCUGGUGUGGGAUGAGCUCGCGGCCUAUCAGUUUGUUGGUGGGGUAAUGGCCUACCAAGACGGCGACGGGUAGCCGGCCUGAGAGGGUGGACGGUCACAUUGGGACUGAGAUACGGCCCAGACGCCUACGGGAGGCAGCAGUGGGGAAUAUUGCACAAUGGGGGAAACCCUGAUGCAGCGACGCCGCGUGGGGGAUGAAGGCCUUCGGGUUGGAAACUCCUUUCGCUAGGGACGAAGCUUUUUGUGACGGUACCUGGAGAAGAAGCACCGGCUAACUACGUG